GUCAAAGCUCAUAAUUCAUAAUGAAUCUUUAAAUCCUUUAGAAAUCAUUUCAGCUUUAAUCAUGGACCAUAAAGCUUCAUGUUGACCUCCUUCAUCCAUCCCAUGUCUUGCAAACAGCGUUAUGUUGGAAGAACCCAGCGACCAGCGAGGUUUCAUCCAACCGUAAACUGGUGCCAACUAGUAAGAAUCCAAAUCACAUAAAUUAAUAAAAGAAGAACUGGGCAGCUACUGUAGAGCAUGGUGGUGGCAGCAUCAUGGUCUGUUUGGCCGUGAAAGUGGCUCUGAUCCUUUUCACGAAAUGGGCAAAAAAAAAAAAGCUGGAAGGCUAUUUCUAAAUGUUUCACAUGACCUCAGAUCGGCGAAUGGUCCAACAUCCUGACAGAACCAGAAGUUUCGGAGGCCAACGGUGUGGUUUGUCAGAAAUACUAAAGGACGACUGUUUGAUUUUUACAUCGUUUGGAAACGGAGGGAAAAAAAAGUCCCCUAAUAGAUUCUGAUUUGUAACUUUUUAUCAUCGUUUCAUUGUUAAAAGAAAAGGGAUAAAUCAUAAACGGUCCAAAAUGAACAACACUCCUGUCAGCAUAGAGGUUCUCAGAGGGAGAAAACCAAAGUCUCAGAAACAAGCCUCACCAACGACUCGCAGACAUUUUUAUUUCAUGUUUUUAUCCGUUUUAGCCUAGAAGUAGAAUCCUUCCUUCUGUUUUGAUCCUUCUGACCCUCCUGCCAUCGAUCCUGGCCUGUUUUAGCUCCUCCUACUCAUCCUCGGCUUCACAAUGGCCGCUGAUACUUGAAUGCCAACCUUCCUCCUCCAUUUCAUUCACUGCCAAAAACAUUUCAGCAGCAACAGAGAGGAAAGUUCUGCUGGGUUCUGGAAACCGAAGUAUCGCUGGAGUUCAGAUUUUUAAGGCUUCCUGACGAAUUUCUGACAUGAGGUUCAGUAAACGGACCUUAAAGAGUUAAUAUCAGAUUCCAGUAAUGACUCCAUCAUUAAAUGUAAAUCCAGAUUAGAUCUGAACCUGGUAGCUUGUCCAAAUGGAUCGGGACCAAAUCUGACUUUUAUCGUCUCUAAAGGACUUCAGGAUAUAAAUGAAUGAAUUCACCAUUUUAUGACCCUUCAAACCAUCACCAUGUUUUCAUUAGAGCUUAUCUACGUAGAACUUCAUGUUUUAAUGAGAAUUGGAAGCUUUUUUGUGCAUAAAAAGCACAAAAUAUUUCAUUUUUAUGUUUUUUGCCAUUUGCUCCACGUCCCUUUUCUGAUUGGAGAUACUUUACAGCGAUGAUGCAACAUAAUCUACCCUACGUCCAAGUCUAAUUCCAGUGCAAACAUGGCUUUACCUGAUGUCCAUGUAUGGAGUGAAUUUGGUUCCAUUAUUUUUGCAAACAACAUGUUUAUAGAUGUAAAUAGAAAUUUGUAUAAAACACAAUCCGGAAAUUAAACUUUGAAAACCAUCUAAACUAAAAAAAAGGUUCUGAGAAGAAAUUAGCUGCUUUCUCAGAUUUUUAUUUUGUCAAAUCAUUUUUUUUUUUCAGAUUUGUUUUUCUUUCCACUUUUUCAACUUUAUCUUGCAGAUUUAUAUCAAUCUUUUUUUUCCUUCAAAUUCCUGUUUAUAAGAUGACAUUUUACCGACUGCAUCCUUUCAAGCUGUCUUUAACAGAUCAACAGAAAUACUCGUUCCUGACCAAUACAAAUGUUGCUAAGGUUUUUACAGACCAAUAGGAACGAGUCUUUGCUCCUCACUCUAAAGGAAAGAGGUGAAGAGCAUUUGAUCUGUAAAACUGGAUCUAAAAAAAAAACAUUCAUUUU
Molecule: long non-coding RNA, 1804 nt
Organism: Cyprinodon tularosa
Lineage: Eukaryota; Metazoa; Chordata; Actinopteri; Cyprinodontiformes; Cyprinodontidae
Exons: 2
Source: RefSeq, a predicted model, not a curated record